UAGAGCGGCGGACUGUUAAUCCGUAGGUCACUGGUUCGAGUCCAGUCUGGGGAG
This 54-nucleotide transfer RNA is filed under the name Rheinheimera pacifica. RNAcentral's name for it is "tRNA_Asn_GTT". It matches the Rfam family "tRNA", at positions 19 to 71 of the family's 71-position model. From Rfam's summary of the family: Transfer RNA (tRNA) molecules are approximately 80 nucleotides in length. Their secondary structure includes four short double-helical elements and three loops (D, anti-codon, and T loops). Lineage: Bacteria; Pseudomonadati; Pseudomonadota; Gammaproteobacteria; Chromatiales; Chromatiaceae. The record is from RNAcentral.